This 175-nucleotide non-coding RNA is filed under the name Chloroflexota bacterium. Its description in RNAcentral is "Chloroflexi bacterium 6S RNA". It matches the Rfam family "6S / SsrS RNA". Rfam says of the family: E. coli 6S RNA was the first non coding RNA to be sequenced, but its function was unknown until recently. It consists of 184 nucleotides that fold into an extended hairpin structure with a large single-stranded internal bulge. Lineage: Bacteria; Bacillati; Chloroflexota. The record is from RNAcentral.
AAUCCCCUGCUGUGCCCGUGAUGUAGCUUUUGCGUUUUGUACCAACACGAGAUUUAAGGCACCCAUAUUCGCGAAAGGGAUGUGAUAGGCCUGAGCCAAGACUGAACUUUCGGAGCGGGAGCCACCUACGAAAGUAGGUUCAAAACUUUGCUACACACGACACGGCGGGGACUUU